GUGCGUGUGCGUUGGAUCUUGGGGUCGCUUUCUGGGCUAAGCAAGUUGGUCAGCAUCAGUGUUCUCGGGGUUUCGACAGCGUAUAGUGUGUUUGAAACGCUAAGUGCUUUUUUCCAGUUUUCUUCCCUUGUAAGUCAAAAACAAAAACACAAACACCAUGGACGCCAUCAAGAAGAAGAUGCAAGCGAUGAAGCUUGAGAAGGAUAACGCCAUCGACAAGGCCGACACCUGCGAGAACCAAGCCAAGGAUGCCAACUCCCGCGCCGACAAACUGAACGAGGAGGUGCGCGAUCUGGAGAAGAAGUUCGUCCAGGUGGAGAUCGAUCUGGUCACCGCCAAGGAGCAGCUGGAGAAGGCCAACACCGAGCUGGAGGAGAAGGAGAAGCUCCUGACCGCCACCGAGUCCGAGGUGGCCACCCAGAACCGCAAGGUGCAACAGAUUGAGGAGGAUCUGGAGAAGUCCGAGGAGCGCUCGACCACCGCCCAACAGAAGCUGCUGGAGGCCACCCAGUCGGCCGAUGAGAACAACCGCAUGUGCAAGGUGCUGGAGAACCGUUCCCAGCAGGAUGAGGAGCGCAUGGACCAGCUGACCAACCAGCUGAAGGAAGCCCGCAUGCUGGCUGAGGAUGCCGAUACCAAGUCCGACGAGGUCUCCCGCAAGCUGGCCUUCGUUGAAGACGAGCUGGAGGUGGCUGAGGAUCGUGUCCGCUCCGGCGAGUCCAAGAUCAUGGAGCUGGAGGAGGAGCUCAAGGUUGUCGGUAACUCCCUGAAGUCCCUGGAGGUGUCCGAGGAGAAGGCCAACCAGCGCGUGGAGGAGUUCAAGCGCGAGAUGAAGACCCUGUCCAUCAAGUUGAAGGAGGCCGAGCAGCGCGCCGAGCACGCCGAGAAGCAAGUGAAGCGCCUGCAGAAGGAGGUCGACAGGCUAGAGGACCGUCUCUUCAAUGAGAAGGAAAAAUACAAAGCAAUCUGCGACGAUUUGGACCAGACAUUUGCCGAACUUACUGGAUAUUAAAAAAAAUCACAAACAGAACUCACACAGAUUCCUUCCCUCCCCGCGCCCAACCUUCCCCUUCCCCACGAAAAAAAGAAGACAAACACUUUCAGUACAUCCCACACACAGUUUAUUAUAUAUAUAUAUAUAUAUUUCUAUUUUUGGAACGAUUCCCCGACAGUUUCAGUGUAUUUACCACCCAGCCCAACACGCCACACUUCUCUAUACACUGUAAAUAAUCUGUUUAGUCUCGCUUGAAUGUGGCCACACCCACACAACCAGUUCCCUACGCCAGUACACUGUAAAAAAUAAGUUCAGAUCAAGCCAAACCAAGUUGCAACUGUAGUUAAUACAGACGAGUUGGGCAUCAACAAGGACAGGUACAAGUCCCUGGCCGACGAGAUGGACUCCACAUUCGCCGAGUUGGCUGGCUACUAAGUUG
RNAcentral lists this unclassified non-coding RNA (1433 nucleotides) under Drosophila yakuba. RNAcentral describes it as "Tm2". Lineage: Eukaryota; Metazoa; Arthropoda; Insecta; Diptera; Drosophilidae. The record is from RNAcentral.